Molecule: non-coding RNA, 21 nt
Filed under: Caenorhabditis elegans
Lineage: Eukaryota; Metazoa; Nematoda; Chromadorea; Rhabditida; Rhabditidae
Source: RNAcentral
UGAAUGAUGUAUGCAUAAAAA